GGGGACCCGCACAAGUAGCGGAGCAUGUGGGUUAAUUCGAAGCAACGCGAAGAACCUUACCUAAGCUGGACAUCCCAAUGACAUCUCCUUAAUCGGGGAGUUCCCUUCGGGGACAUUGGUGACAGGUGGUGCAUGGUUGUCGUCAGCUCGUGUCGUGAGAUGUUGGGUUAAGUCCCGCAACGAGCGCAACCCUUGUCUUUAGUUGCCAUCAUUAAGUUGGGCACUCUAGAGAGACUGCCAGGGAUAACCUGGAGGAAGGUGGGGAUGACGUCAAAUCAUCAUGCC
RNAcentral lists this ribosomal RNA (285 nucleotides) under Clostridioides difficile. Its description in RNAcentral is "partial 16S ribosomal RNA". It matches the Rfam family "Bacterial small subunit ribosomal RNA", at positions 915 to 1199 of the family's 1533-position model. Lineage: Bacteria; Bacillati; Bacillota; Clostridia; Peptostreptococcales; Peptostreptococcaceae. The record is from RNAcentral.